AUGCACGCUGGCGGCGUGCCUAAUGCAUGCAAGUCGCGCGAACAGACGAGGAGCUUGCUCCUCUGACGUUAGCGGCGGACGGGUGAGUAACACGUGGAUAACCUACCUAUAAGACUGGGAUAACUUCGGGAAACCGGAGCUAAUACCGGAUAAUAUAUUGAACCGCAUGGUUCAAUAGUGAAAGACGGUUUUGCUGUCACUUAUAGAUGGAUCCGCGCCGCAUUAGCUAGUUGGUAAGGUAACGGCUUACCAAGGCAACGAUGCGUAGCCGACCUGAGAGGGUGAUCGGCCACACUGGAACUGAGACACGGUCCAGACUCCUACGGGAGGCAGCAGUAGGGAAUCUUCCGCAAUGGGCGAAAGCUUGACGGAGCAACGCCGCGUGAGUGAUGAAGGUCUUCGGAUCGUAAAACUCUGUUAUUAGGGAAGAACAAAUGUGUAAGUAACUAUGCACGUCUUGACGGUACCUAAUCAGAAAGCCACGGCUAACUACGUG
RNAcentral lists this ribosomal RNA (496 nucleotides) under uncultured bacterium. RNAcentral describes it as "partial 16S ribosomal RNA". It matches the Rfam family "Bacterial small subunit ribosomal RNA", at positions 29 to 507 of the family's 1533-position model. The record is from RNAcentral.